Molecule: transfer RNA, 73 nt
Filed under: Bathycoccus prasinos
Lineage: Eukaryota; Viridiplantae; Chlorophyta; Mamiellophyceae; Mamiellales; Bathycoccaceae
Rfam family: tRNA
About the family: Transfer RNA (tRNA) molecules are approximately 80 nucleotides in length.
Source: Rfam by way of RNAcentral
UGCGGGAUAGAGUAAUUGGUAACUCGUCAGGCUCAUAACCUGAAAAAUGUAGGUUCAAGUCCUACUUCCGCAU